CAACAACACAAAGUUGAAGUUCCUGAUUUAAGCAUGGGAUGUAACAUGCAAUUUAAACAGCUGAACCCACAGAUAAUUUAUUGCUAGUUAGCUACAAAGCUAUUCACUAUUCUUCUUCAAGAAGAAAAGAGCAAGUCAAACAUCAAUGGUCCAAGGGAAAAGAUCUAUCUAACAAAUCUGAAAAUGAAUAAUUUCAACUCCAUGAGAAAAAACAUUGAUUUAAUAACAAAAAUAUCUAUUUGGCAUUACCCGGAUAUCCUGGUUAGCUUCUUUUCGCCUUAGCUUGUGGAGAUUGCUGUUGUUGCCUCUCUUCAUGUAUAAUGAAAUAUUAACACCAAAGAAAUGAUUCAGAAGCUCCGGUGGUUGAACUUCUGCUUCACCAGGAUUGCCUGAAGAGAAGCUCCUCCUUCACCUGUGAUAUUUGACAUCUUGAAGAAAACAAAUGAUGAAAAAAGGGAUCAAAAGGUUGGCCAAGGAAAAGAUAAAAAUUUGCCUCUUUCAUUGAUUUUAUUUUCUCUCUCUCUUCUCUUUACCUCCAGCUGUCUUGGUUUGUUUCUCUCUUUCUUGCCUUUCUUUUCCUUUUUUCUUUUUUUGCUGCACUUGGUUCUAUCUUGUUCUUAUCUCUCAAAGGAGUGAUCCUCAUAAAAGUUAAAGAAAGAGAGGAAAAAAAUAAAAUGGAGAAUAAAAACAGAGAAAUCCGGGGAUUUGUUGCGGCUACAGGGAGACAAAGACCAUGAAAUUCACCUUCAUUUCUGGUGGAGGAGAUGGGAGCCGUUUAAUUGCUUGGCACAAGAAGAACGCAACU
This 805-nucleotide long non-coding RNA is filed under the name Eucalyptus grandis. RNAcentral describes it as "long non-coding RNA (EGRA_LNC000827)". The record is from RNAcentral. Lineage: Eukaryota; Viridiplantae; Streptophyta; Magnoliopsida; Myrtales; Myrtaceae.